RNAcentral lists this transfer RNA (76 nucleotides) under Bradyrhizobium sp. 41S5. Its description in RNAcentral is "tRNA-Arg". It matches the Rfam family "tRNA". Rfam says of the family: Transfer RNA (tRNA) molecules are approximately 80 nucleotides in length. Their secondary structure includes four short double-helical elements and three loops (D, anti-codon, and T loops). Lineage: Bacteria; Pseudomonadati; Pseudomonadota; Alphaproteobacteria; Hyphomicrobiales; Nitrobacteraceae. The record is from RNAcentral.
GCGCUCGUGGGCCAACUGGACGGCCAGCGGAAUUCUACUCCGCCGCAUGCGGGUUCGAGUCCUGCCGAGCGCGCCA